GCGGCAGCAGGGUUGGGCUCUCGCCGUGAGUCGACGAAGGGAGCGCGGGCGCGCGCCCGCGUCCGCGCACUGAGAGUCGCCUCGGCCGCUCGCUUUCUCGACUCCCGCCUCGCGCCUCGAUCCUGUUCCGCCUCCCUCGGCCCUCCUGCCCGCCCCCACUCGUCGGCCCUCAGCUCAGAGACCUAAUAGGAUGGGGUCUUAGAGAAACAUCUUUUGAGCCACAGACUUCUUUGUUACCAGAAGGAAAAUGAAAGAAGAAAUUUAAAUACCACUUGAAGAGAGGUGCUGCCCAGUUCAUGAGUGCUGCUGCUGUCCUGCCCAAGUACCCAGCUUGCAGAGUGCCAGAGUUAGAGUCCCAGGGGUGUUCUCCACAGCUGCAUGCUUGAUCCAGGCCUAUCAGUGAACCAGCAUCUUGCCCUUCAGACCCUACAGCACACUCUUGGGCUCAUGAAGUGUAUGACACAUCCUCCUUGGGGGAUCGGCCAUGUCCUCGCUCUCAUGACCACAUGAAUUCUUCUGUAUGUCUUUUCUCACAGCUGAGUACUCUCUUCCUGACCCCCUUGUGGAAUGGGGAAAGGAGGCUGUGACAUUGUGCUUGUGCAAACAAUAAUUGAGAGCUUUCCGAGUCUCCUGCAUCUUCAUAAAUGAUUUUUUGUUUUAUGCUGGGACAGUAGUUCUUUAAAUAGAAUAUUCUCCCAUGGAAAUCGCCCACAAUGCUGAGAGUACACCUUGCAAAAGGUAAGUCUAGAAUAUAGGGUGCCUCCUCAGCAUUGCCCAGAAGCUGAAGUUAGGACUCUCUAGAAUACCAAAAACAAAUUUAUAGCAGUUCAUUAAUGUAAGGAAUUAUGAAAACUGUGUGCCACCAUUAUCCAUAGAUGAAACAAGAGCCACCACGCAAGCACAGACACAAAGCCCUGAAGAUGAAGCCAUUGACAGGGCUCUCAUUUAUUCUGUAGAAACCCACUUGCCUGUUUUUGAACCAGUUUUCUUUGGAGCAUAUGUCUCACUGUGCAACCAAAGUGGUGUUUAUAUCCUAGUCACUUGGCAAAAAUUCUGUCAUUGCUUCAGGGAGAUCCAUUUUAGGCCUGAAGCAUGGAGCUGGUAAUAGAUGGGAUUUGGUACUUCUGAAGAAAAGACCCUACUGCAAAUUUAGAGAGUUAAUUUUUUCUUUUGUUCCCCAUAAUAUUGUUGCUAGAUAGAACUACCUUUUUUGACUAGAAGUUAAAUAUAGAGGCCUAAAUCAAUUAGGUAACUCCCACUCAUUCUAAAUGAGAACAUGUUUGUUUUUCUCCAACGAGAUGAGAAAUAUUUGAGGCGCUUCCUGAUAUCUCUAUCACCCACUGCAUUUUUUCACUUGAUGUAUAUUUCCCCAUGUAUUUGGGAUAAUUUUCAAAUAAUUGCCCUUUAGAAAUCUACUUGAUAUUAAAUGUAAAAAAAAAGCAAGAUGCAAAAUUAUUAUAGGAUGCAUUUACAGAAAUUACAAAAUUUCUAUAAACUAUUUAUGGAGGAAGACUUAUAGAGUAUAUGUCAACACAUUGCUUUAUUAUUGUCCUUGGUUAUGAGUAUGGUUUUUUUGAAACCUGCUUUGUACUUUGGGUGUUUUCUCACCAUUGGUACAAUUGAGGCAUUUUUCCCUCUUCUUCAACCUUGCAAAUCACACGUGAGGAUGCUCAUAGAAGUGCCUCUCAGACAGGCUGUUGUUUUGCUUUCACCAAUAAAUCAUUUAUAAUUAGAAGUAGAAAACUAUUCUUUCCAGUGCAAAUACAUCCCUUUCAAAAGCAGUUCUCUUUUUGUGAAUGAUGUCUAGUGUCUAAGAAACGAGGGUAACCUUUAUUAUAUGCAUUGCUCUAAUCGAAGCAUUGUUUUUUGCGGUGAACUCAAGGUUACAUGUUUAAGAAAAGCAUCGGGUUAAUUCCAUUAGGAAAAGUGUCUUAUUCAUAAACCUUUAGCCACUGGAAAAACACCAUUAGGAGGCCACACAAGUGUGUAUAGCUGGAUAGAAUUUGACAACUGGCAAAACAAAACAAUAGCCUACAAUUGCAGAGUGCUGUCUGUUUAAAAACCAACAUAUCUUUCACCAACAAAUACAUAUUCACCUCAACACGAGACUUUCAUGUGGUUAUUAAUAUCAAAUUUUUGAAUGUCCAAAUUUUGGAGUGUAGUCUAGCAGAGGUAAACUGAUUUGCCUAAGGUCCUUCAACUGUCAGAGGUAGAAUUAUUUUCUCUCUCCUGGCUCUAAAACCUGUCCAGAUUCUCCUGCAACACUGUCCUUCAAAAACACACUUCCGCUGACUCCAGUGCUGGUGAUGUCAUGCUUUAGCUAGUAGUUAGAGGUGACUUAACUUUAAAUAUGGAAUCUUUUUUUCCUAUUAAGCAAUGAGGUUUAGUUUGAAAAUUCUUAGAGAUGAUAAACCCCUCUCCUUUUUUUCUUCCUUCUCCUCUUUUGUCCUGAACAAUGUUCCAUAUAUAUUACUGCCAGAAACAGAUUCUUGACAUUCCUGUUAUGCUUUUCCACAUCUUGUAAUCAUUUCUACAGCUGUUAGCAUUGCCAACAAUUAUAUUUCCACUUUUAAAAAAUUGUUACAAAGAUGCAGAGAGAAAAGAGGAAAGCCAAGGAAUAAACUACAGGCAAUUAUGGGAUAUUUUUGUGAUGUGACAUUUUGGGAACUGAGGCAGCAUCACUGAUACUGCACUACUUUUUAAUAUCUAGAUUUUAAUCUUUUGUAUGAAGAUAAAAUUCACAUGCCUUAAACCUGACCACAACAUAAUAGGGCAUUUAUUUUUCUAAUUUUGAUACCAUCCACAUUUCUUAACUAUAAGAAGAAUGCUUAUGUUGUACCAGGUUAUAUGAUGUUGCCAAGAAGUAGAUGUGUACCAUUUACUAAUACAUCCUUUUGGAAAAUGCGUAUUAAUAACAUAUUAAGGAGUAAAUUGACGUUGUGCAAAGUGAGCCUGUGAGUUUAAAUGUAUGGAUUGUACACCUUGCUCUUCCUAAUUGCAGAUUUAACAGGAUUUGAUGACCUAAUGAGUUUAUUUCUGAAUGAUUUAUAUUUCUUUGUCAGUUCAAUGAUUUAGUAUUUUAAAUUUUUUUAAAUCACAUUUUAUUGAGAUAAUGCUAUUAGUGUUUCUUUCCCAUCACUUAACAAAGUUAAGUCACUCCUCUCCCACCCCACUUUUGUACCUACCAAUGUUUUUUUCACAGUUACAGGCUGAUUGGCUUGACGUGUCUUAGGAUACCACCCAAAGAGAGCUUCAUUUUAUAAAUACCAAGCUCAUUUUCCUAAAUAUUUUCAAAAAGAUAGAUUUAUCCUCAUAUAGUAAAUUCAGAUUAAUAAUUUUGGAAAGGGUCAUGUGACCAUGGUAUUACAUGGCUGUGGAAGACCCUCCAAGAUCUUGUUUUGGGAUAGAAGGACUCAGACAUCCAAACUUUUAAAUUAAUGAACUUAUUAAAUUCUAAAACUUUGUAACAGUGUUAAUUUGAGAAGUAUAAUAUUUUGCUUAAGGUCUGUUUUGCUUUGCAAAAUGCAUCUCCUUCAUUUUCAUAUUAUGUUGGAAGCUUAGCAUGAAAGAACGUGCCUCAGAGGAAACCAUAGGUAAGCAUACUUUAACAAAAGUUAGUGUCAUCAUGUUUGUGUCUUUGCCUGUGGUUUUUUAAAUGUAUAAUGUUUAACGUUGAUUUGGCUAUCAAAUUACAUUUUCUUUUGUUAAAAAAUUCUGUAAAUUAGAAAUGUACUGAAUCAUUUAUUUAGCAGACUGAAGGUGGGUAAUGUUGGCUGAACAGGUUUAAGCCACAGU
RNAcentral lists this long non-coding RNA (3795 nucleotides) under Homo sapiens (human). RNAcentral describes it as "synapse stability regulating cerebellar lncRNA". The record is from RNAcentral. Lineage: Eukaryota; Metazoa; Chordata; Mammalia; Primates; Hominidae.